UGUAUGCGGCAAUUCAUUACAACUGAUGUGCCUAUAGCACUAAAUGGGUUACAGAGUAUCUAUAAUCUAAAUGUCGGGAGUUCAAGUGAAAUUUUGCACUGUGGUCAAAGGAAAAGGAAUACAUGUAUCUACCUAUUAGCAUCCCUGAUCUCCCCCCAAAACUAUGAACAUUGUGCAAUAAUUGGAUACAUAACCUUGGAAAUUAAUCUUUUGUUUUUGAACGGCAUUUUGAGAAAGAGUCUUUUAAAGAGGAUAUCAGGCUAAUCCAUUUUCUUUUGGAAACCAAUGAAAACUCAUAUGCAGAACCUAUUGACCAACCUGGACUAUCAGCAUCUAAGGAAACAGCUCAUUGAAGACAUGAAUAGUGACAAAAAUACCCCACUCUCAAUCCAAAUUGAAUAAUAAAUCAACUUUGCGCAACAUAUACAGAUAGAAUUGCCCAGUCAUUGUCCGUCACAUGUGCUAAGGAAUGUUCAAGUGAAGAAUUUUAUGAAGUGAAGAUAAUGAACUGUAUAAAGAAUACAAAAUUAAAAGUUGAAGAAUUAAGAGUGUCGUUUUCAUCAUUUUAUCCCAAUGAACUAGUGUUUUCAU
Ostrea edulis (European flat oyster) is the source of this 591-nucleotide long non-coding RNA. RefSeq lists it as uncharacterized. NCBI's taxonomy places the organism in Eukaryota, Metazoa, Mollusca, Bivalvia, Ostreida, Ostreidae. The transcript has 3 exons. The record is from RefSeq and is a predicted model, not a curated record.